This 911-nucleotide ribosomal RNA is filed under the name Cadophora fastigiata. RNAcentral describes it as "LSU rRNA". It matches the Rfam family "Eukaryotic large subunit ribosomal RNA", at positions 38 to 964 of the family's 3401-position model. The record is from RNAcentral. Lineage: Eukaryota; Fungi; Ascomycota; Leotiomycetes; Helotiales; Ploettnerulaceae.
GCAUAUCAAUAAGCGGAGGAAAAGAAACCAACAGGGAUUACCUCAGUAACGGCGAGUGAAGCGGUAACAGCUCAAAUUUGAAAGCUAGCUCUUUUAGGGUUCGCAUUGUAAUUUGUAGAAGAUGCUUCGGGUGUGGCCCCGGUCUAAGUUCCUUGGAACAGGACGUCAUAGAGGGUGAGAAUCCCGUAUGUGACUGGGUGCUUUCGCUCAUGUGAAGCUCUUUCGACGAGUCGAGUUGUUUGGGAAUGCAGCUCAAAAUGGGUGGUAAAUUUCAUCUAAAGCUAAAUAUUGGCCAGAGACCGAUAGCGCACAAGUAGAGUGAUCGAAAGAUGAAAAGCACUUUGGAAAGAGAGUUAAACAGUACGUGAAAUUGUUGAAAGGGAAGCGCUUGCAACCAGACUUGCGCGCUGAUGAUCAUCCGGGCUUCUGCCCGGUGCACUCGUCUGCGCUCAGGCCAGCAUCGGUUUCGGUGGUGGGAUAAAGGCCUUGGGAAUGUAGCUCCUCUCGGGGAGUGUUAUAGCCCUCGGUGCAAUGCCGCCUACCGGGACCGAGGACCGCGCUUCGGCUAGGAUGCUGGCGUAAUGGUUGUAAGCGACCCGUCUUGAAACACGGACCAAGGAGUCUAACAUCUAUGCGAGUGUUUGGGUGUCAAACCCAUACGCGUAAUGAAAGUGAACGGAGGUGAGAACCCUUAAGGGUGCAUCAUCGACCGAUCCUGAUGUCUUCGGAUGGAUUUGAGUAAGAGCAUAGCUGUUGGGACCCGAAAGAUGGUGAACUAUGCGUGAAUAGGGUGAAGCCAGAGGAAACUCUGGUGGAGGCUCGCAGCGGUUCUGACGUGCAAAUCGAUCGUCAAAUUUGCGUAUAGGGGCGAAAGACUAAUCGAAACCAUCUAGUAGCUGGUUUCCUGCCGA